GUGGAGGGGGGGGAGUACUGGUGAGAGAGGAUCUUACAUCCAGGGACAUCACCAAAAAUCCACAUCCCAGCACGCAAAGAGGGGGGAAUACUGAUAGUACAGGGUCCGACACACAGACCAUAGUACUAAAAGACGUAUCCCAAAGUAUCUAAUACGCAGAGGAGGGGGGAGUACUGGUGAUACAGUAUCCCGAACACGGUCACAACCUACCAGCAACUAGAAGUCCAGAUAGCCUAAGAUGAG
RNAcentral lists this long non-coding RNA (243 nucleotides) under Zostera marina. RNAcentral describes it as "long non-coding RNA (ZMAR_LNC005062)". The record is from RNAcentral. Lineage: Eukaryota; Viridiplantae; Streptophyta; Magnoliopsida; Alismatales; Zosteraceae.